UCUUGUUAAUGAACAUAGAUGGCUGAUGUGAAUACUUUUACGUCAUCACUGCAACCACUGUCACUACUGCUAUCCCCUCACCGUAACUACUCUCAUUAUCACUACCACCACCAGCACCACCACCACUUCACUCUUACAACCCCAACACUUAAGCAACUUUCACGCAAGAUCUCCGCUGUCUGAGGAGGCUGUGGGGGAGAGAGGUAGACGUGCCAGCCGUUCCCCUACAGAAAGAGCUCAGAACUUGUUCUGUUACCAGUCAGCGACCAAUCAAUGUGUCAACACCAUAUAAUAAUUACCAGCUUAGUGUGAGGACCAUGUGUCAAUUGUCUCUCCUUUCAUCCCUGCAUAUCUCUAUCAAUCUGUUUCCGACACUACUAGCCCAAACCAAGAAUUUGUCUAUUAUUGGGAUUAAAUGAGGAUUCUUUGAGAGUCCAGUGCAAACCAGCUCCAUGAAGUGUCUGAUGGGGCCACAUUUUGGGCACCAUCCUUCCAAGUGUCUCUCAAGGAAGACAUGCUCAUGGAAUCCCACUUUCAUUUCCUCCACCAAACCUGCUGAGAUGGAAGGAGAAGGCAUUGAGAAAUUAUUUAUGUUUGGUUGUUAAUAUGAACAAAAAAAUACAACAACAGAAAACUGCCAAAUGACACACUAAUUAAAAGAGCAUUUUCUUGAAUAA
Long non-coding RNA from Scylla paramamosain (green mud crab), 677 nucleotides. RefSeq lists it as uncharacterized. The transcript has 3 exons. The record is from RefSeq and is a predicted model, not a curated record. NCBI's taxonomy places the organism in Eukaryota, Metazoa, Arthropoda, Malacostraca, Decapoda, Portunidae.